AUGGAGUACCAACCACUGAUCUCGACGCUUGAUGUCCGCACCGAGCCCGUCACGGUGGACCUCCUCUUCUCCCUCGUGUCCAACUUCGACCAGCGGGUCAAACUCUACCAUGGUAAUGGUUCUAGAGGCUUCAAAUCUUCAGCAAAUUCUGCGUCUCGCGGCAGGCAGGGAGGACGAGGUGGUGGCUACCGCAACCAGAAGAAUGGUGGCGGCGGAUCCCAUGGUGGUUCUCACAGCGGCGGCGGCCAUGCUGGCGGCGGCGGCUAUCAGGGAGGAGGUGGUGGCGGCGGCUACCACCCCAAUGGAGGCUCCAGCGGCGGCGGCGGCUACCAUCCCAGUAAUGGUGGUGGCGGCUAUCAAGGGCGAGGCGGCGGCAGUUACUACUCCCCCAACAAUCACGGCGGCAACAACACCAGAAGAUCCUCCAACAACAACUGGCGCCCCUUCCAAGGCUAUGAUGGCUAUGAAGGCAAGUGCCAGAUUUGUAAAAAAAAAGCAACCAUAUUGCUAAAGAUUGUGAUUGGCGCUAUGUCGAUGACAACUCCCAGAAAAAGAAAAUUGCAGCUGCAGCAGAUGGAUCAUAUGGUGUUGAUACCAACUGGUAUAUGGACACGGGGGCGACAAAUCAUAUCACCGGAGAGUUGGAGAAACUAA
RNAcentral lists this ribosomal RNA (654 nucleotides) under Triticum aestivum (bread wheat). Its description in RNAcentral is "partial small subunit ribosomal RNA". Lineage: Eukaryota; Viridiplantae; Streptophyta; Magnoliopsida; Poales; Poaceae. The record is from RNAcentral.